GACGUAGGGCGCGAGCGUUGUCCGGAUUUAUUGGGCGUAAAGAGCUCGUAGGCGGCUUGUCGCGUCGUUCGUGAAAACUUGGGGCUCAACCCCAAGCUUGCGGUCGAUACGGGCAGGCUGGAGUUCGGUAGGGGAGACUGGAAUUCCUGGUGUAGCGGUGAAAUGCGCAGAUAUCAGGAGGAACACCAGUGGCGAAGGCGGCUUCCUGGCCUGUAACUGACGCUGAGACGCGAAAGCGUGGGGAGCGAACCGG
This 253-nucleotide ribosomal RNA is filed under the name uncultured bacterium. RNAcentral's name for it is "partial 16S ribosomal RNA". It matches the Rfam family "Bacterial small subunit ribosomal RNA", at positions 524 to 776 of the family's 1533-position model. The record is from RNAcentral.